GAGCGGAUGACGGGAGCUUGCUCCUUGAUUCAGCGGCGGACGGGUGAGUAAUGCCUAGGAAUCUGCCUGGUAGUGGGGGACAACGUUUCGAAAGGAACGCUAAUACCGCAUACGUCCUACGGGAGAAAGCAGGGGACCUUCGGGCCUUGCGCUAUCAGAUGAGCCUAGGUCGGAUUAGCUAGUUGGUGGGGUAAUGGCUCACCAAGGCGACGAUCCGUAACUGGUCUGAGAGGAUGAUCAGUCACACUGGAACUGAGACACGGUCCAGACUCCUACGGGAGGCAGCAGUGGGGAAUAUUGGACAAUGGGCGAAAGCCUGAUCCAGCCAUGCCGCGUGUGUGAAGAAGGUCUUCGGAUUGUAAAGCACUUUAAGUUGGGAGGAAGGGCAGUAAGUUAAUACCUUGCUGUUUUGACGUUACCGACAGAAUAAGCACCGGCUAACUCUGUGCCAGCAGCCGCGGUAAUACAGAGGGUGCAAGCGUUAAUCGGAAUUACUGGGCGUAAAGCGCGCGUAGGUGGUUUGUUAAGUUGGAUGUGAAAGCCCCGGGCUCAACCUGG
Molecule: ribosomal RNA, 558 nt
Filed under: uncultured Pseudomonas sp.
Lineage: Bacteria; Pseudomonadati; Pseudomonadota; Gammaproteobacteria; Pseudomonadales; Pseudomonadaceae
Description: bacterial SSU rRNA
Rfam family: Bacterial small subunit ribosomal RNA
Source: RNAcentral